GAUGAACGCUAGCGGCAGGCUUAAUACAUGCAAGUCGAACGGUAAGUUUGGUAGCAAUAUCAAACCAAGAGUGACGUACGGGUGCGUAACACGUAUGCAACCUACCUUGUACAGGAGUAUAGCUCGGGGAAACUCGAAUUAACCCUCCAUGAGAUCAUAGAAUGGCAUCAUUUAGUGAUUAAAACUCAGGUGGUACAAGAUGGGCAUGCGUCUGAUAGUUAGUUGGCGGGGUAAUGGCCCACCAAGACGAUGAUCAGUAGGGGACCUGAGA
This 271-nucleotide ribosomal RNA is filed under the name uncultured bacterium. RNAcentral's name for it is "partial 16S ribosomal RNA". It matches the Rfam family "Bacterial small subunit ribosomal RNA", at positions 28 to 297 of the family's 1533-position model. The record is from RNAcentral.